AUGAACUCUGGCGGCGUGCCUAAUACAUGCAAGUCGAGCGAACAGACGAGGAGCUUGCUCCUCUGACGUUAGCGGCGGACGGGUGAGUAACACGUGGAUAACCUACCUAUAAGACUGGGAUAACUUCGGGAAACCGGAGCUAAUACCGGAUAAUAUAUUGAACCGCAUGGUUCAAUAGUGAAAGACGGUUUUGCUGUCACUUAUAGAUGGAUCCGCGCCGCAUUAGCUAGUUGGUAAGGUAACGGCUUACCAAGGCAACGAUGCGUAGCCGACCUGAGAGGGUGAUCGGCCACACUGGAACUGAGACACGGUCCAGACUCCUACGGGAGGCAGCAGUAGGGAAUCUUCCGCAAUGGGCGAAAGCUUGACGGAGCAACGCCGCGUGAGUGAUGAAGGUCUUCGGAUCGUAAAACUCUGUUAUUAGGGAAGAACAAAUGUGUAAGUAACUAUGCACGUCUUGACGGUACCUAAUCAGAAAGCCACGGCUAACUACGUG
RNAcentral lists this ribosomal RNA (496 nucleotides) under uncultured bacterium. RNAcentral's name for it is "partial 16S ribosomal RNA". It matches the Rfam family "Bacterial small subunit ribosomal RNA", at positions 29 to 507 of the family's 1533-position model. The record is from RNAcentral.